Molecule: transfer RNA, 71 nt
Filed under: Loxodonta africana (African savanna elephant)
Lineage: Eukaryota; Metazoa; Chordata; Mammalia; Proboscidea; Elephantidae
Rfam family: tRNA
About the family: Transfer RNA (tRNA) molecules are approximately 80 nucleotides in length. Their secondary structure includes four short double-helical elements and three loops (D, anti-codon, and T loops).
Source: Rfam by way of RNAcentral
ACAAUGGUGGUGCGGUGGUAGAAUCCUCACUUUCCAUGUGAGAGACCCAGGUUUGAUUCCCGGCCGAUGCA